GAGCAGUCAGAGCUCUUAACCAUUGAGCCAUCUCUCUAGCCCCUGCUUUUAACUUUUGCUGGCUGGCUUAAUGGUUCUACAGUUCAUACUCAAUGCUUGCCCAGAGCUACCUCUGUGAGGAAACAGGAGCUGGAAAUGCUGGGUAAAAUUCAGUCCGAAGUCCUUGGGUGUGGCGGCGGAAUCCGGAUGUCAUGGAGCAUGAAGGCUUUCUCACGGAGCCCAUCCAUUCUUCCUGCCUCUACUAUCACCCCUCUCCAGAAGCAUUGCACUGGCUGACACACAGCGGCACGCCCUCUUAAAUGCAUCAACAACUGCCUUUUUCUCAGCAGAGGAUUCCAAAAGAACAUUUCCAGACUCUGCCACAGCCUCCCCUUCUUUGUAACUAAUCACCGUUUCCAUACACAGGCUUUGUUUUGUUUUGUUUUGUUUUGUUUUGUUUUGUUUUUAACAUAUUGCACUUUCUCCACCACAUCCAACAAUUUGCCAUAGGAAACAUUAGUCACUUCAAAACCUUUGCUAUAACAAUCCACAAGAACGUAUCAGUUGAUCUCUAUGAAGUAUGUCUGAGGGAAACAGGGUAUUCCUCCUGCCCAGCUGCAUCUGCAAGUUGAAGACUGCAGUCUUGAUCCAUUCACCGGGAUAGACUUUGGGGGAGUGCUUUCUGUGAUUCGGUCAUAUGAGUCAACAAAUCAGCAGUCAACAACCUGAAUUGUCUAUGAUGACUUCUCUUGCAAAGAAAAAGAAGAUAAUGAAGUUUCAAGUUGUCUCUUUCUUUCCUUCCCUACUCGCCCCUACCUGCAGGGAUAAUCAACGGGGACCCAGGGCAGGAGAGAGAGAGAGAGUGGGAGGGACAAGAGACACGAAGAAUGAGAGCAAGUCAAUCAUACUGAUCAAGCUCUGAAAACUUUAUUCAAGAGUGGCAAAAUAAGCAUAAGCAAGAGGAGGCUCCAAGGGACGGGGGAAGAGCCCGGGGGCUCUCUGAAGGUCAGGUGGCAAUCUUCAGCUCCUGGAACCAACGGUCACAGUGUCCUCUUUCCCACAAACCUUCUUACUGUUAUGACCACGAAUGUUCUCUCAGGAUUGUUUAUGUAAGCUA
This is a long non-coding RNA of Mus musculus (house mouse), 1096 nucleotides long. RefSeq annotates it as predicted gene, 46628. The transcript is spliced from 2 exons. NCBI's taxonomy places the organism in Eukaryota, Metazoa, Chordata, Mammalia, Rodentia, Muridae. The record is from RefSeq and is a predicted model, not a curated record.